CGGACGGGUGAGUAACGCGUGGGUAACCUGCCCUGUACAGGGGGACAACAGCUGGAAACGACUGCUAAUACCGCAUAAGCCCACGGCUCGGCAUCGAGCAGGGGGAAAAGGAGCAAUCCGCUUUGAGAUGGCCUCGCGUCCGAUUAGCUAGUUGGUGAGAUAACGGCCCACCAAGGCGACGAUCGGUAGCCGGACUGAGAGGUUGAACGGCCACAUUGGGACUGAGACACGGCCCAG
This 237-nucleotide ribosomal RNA is filed under the name uncultured Bacillota bacterium. RNAcentral describes it as "uncultured Firmicutes bacterium partial 16S ribosomal RNA". It matches the Rfam family "Bacterial small subunit ribosomal RNA", at positions 99 to 334 of the family's 1533-position model. The record is from RNAcentral. Lineage: Bacteria; Bacillati; Bacillota.